GACGAACGCUGGCGGCGUGCCUAAUACAUGCAAGUAGAACGCUGAAGGAGGAGCUUGCUUCUCUGGAUGAGUUGCGAACGGGUGAGUAACGCGUAGGUAACCUGCCUGGUAGCGGGGGAUAACUAUUGGAAACGAUAGCUAAUACCGCAUAAGAGUAGAUGUUGCAUGACAUUUACUUAAAAGGUGCAAUUGCAUCACUACCAGAUGGACCUGCGUUGUAUUAGCUAGUUGGUGAGGUAACGGCUCACCAAGGCAACGAUACAUAGCCGACCUGAGAGGGUGAGCGGCCACACUGGGACUGAGACACGGCCCAGACUCCUACGGGAGGCGGCAGUAGUGAUUCUUCGGCAAUGGACGGAAGUCUGACCGAGCAACGCCGCGUGAGUGAAGAAGGGUUUCGGAUCGUAAAGCUCUGUUGUAAGAGAAGAACGAGUGUGAGAGUGGAAAGUUCACACUGUGACGGUAUCUUACCAGAAAGGGACGGCUAACUACGUG
RNAcentral lists this ribosomal RNA (495 nucleotides) under uncultured bacterium. RNAcentral describes it as "partial 16S ribosomal RNA". It matches the Rfam family "Bacterial small subunit ribosomal RNA", at positions 28 to 507 of the family's 1533-position model. The record is from RNAcentral.